UACGUAGGGCGCAAGCGUUGUCCGGAAUUCUUGGGCGUAAAGAGCUCGUAGGCGGCUUGUCACGUCGGGUGUGAAAGCCCGGGGCUUAACCCCGGGUCUGCAUUCGAUACGGGCUAGCUAGAGUGUGGUAGGGGAGAUCGGAAUUCCUGGUGUAGCGGUGAAAUGCGCAGAUAUCAGGAGGAACACCGGUGGCGAAGGCGGGUCUCUGGGCCAUUACUGACGCUGAGGCGCGACAGCGUGGGGAGCAAACAGG
RNAcentral lists this ribosomal RNA (253 nucleotides) under uncultured bacterium. RNAcentral describes it as "partial 16S ribosomal RNA". It matches the Rfam family "Bacterial small subunit ribosomal RNA", at positions 524 to 776 of the family's 1533-position model. The record is from RNAcentral.